Molecule: ribosomal RNA, 325 nt
Filed under: uncultured eukaryote
Lineage: Eukaryota
Description: partial 18S ribosomal RNA
Rfam family: Eukaryotic small subunit ribosomal RNA
Source: RNAcentral
CCCCUAGACGUUCUGGGCUGCACGCGCGCUACAAUAAUACGCACAGCGAGUAUCACCGAGCUCGAAAGGGCAAGGUAAACAAUAGAAAAGGUACUGUAAUGGUUAUAGAUCCUUGUAAUUAUUGAUCUUCAACGAGGAAUUCCUAGUAAGUAUGUGUCAUCAUCACGCACUGAUUACGUCCCUGCCCUUUGUACACACCGCCCGUCGCACCUACCGAUUGAAUGGUUCGGUGAAGAUCUCGGACUUCGAUAUUUAUUCUUUAUUGAGUUUAUAUUGUGGGAAGUUAUCUAAACCUCAUCAUUUAGAGGAAGGUGAAGUCGUAACA